GACGAACGCUGGCGGCGUGCUUAACACAUGCCAGUCGAACGGAAAGGCCCUGCUUUUGUGGGGUGCUCGAGUGGCGAACGGGUGCGUAACACGUGAGUAACCUGCCCUUGACUUUGGGAUAACUUCAGGAAACUGGGGCUACUACCGGAUAGGAGCUCCUGUUGCAUGGUGGGGGUUGGAAAGUUUCGGCGGUUGGGGAUGGACUCGCGGCUUAUCAGCUUGUUGGUGGGGUAGUGGCUUACCAAGGCUUUGACGGGUAGCCGGCCUGAGAGGGUGACCGGCCACAUUGGGACUGAGAUACGGCCCAGACUCCUACGGGGGGCAGCAGUGGGGAAUAUUGCACAAUGGGCGGAAGCCUGAUGCAGCAACGCCGCGUGCGGGAUGACGGCCUUCGGGUUGUAAACCGCUUUCGCCUGUGACGAAGCGUGAGUGACGGUAAUGGGUAAAGAAGCACCGGCUAACUACGUG
RNAcentral lists this ribosomal RNA (468 nucleotides) under uncultured bacterium. Its description in RNAcentral is "partial 16S ribosomal RNA". It matches the Rfam family "Bacterial small subunit ribosomal RNA", at positions 28 to 507 of the family's 1533-position model. The record is from RNAcentral.